RNAcentral lists this transfer RNA (31 nucleotides) under Sicyos edulis (chayote). RNAcentral describes it as "Sechium edule partial tRNA-Phe". Lineage: Eukaryota; Viridiplantae; Streptophyta; Magnoliopsida; Cucurbitales; Cucurbitaceae. RNAcentral also lists the same sequence under 69 other names. The record is from RNAcentral.
CCGGGAUAGCUCAGUUGGUAGAGCAGAGGAC